Molecule: long non-coding RNA, 2039 nt
Filed under: Daphnia magna
Lineage: Eukaryota; Metazoa; Arthropoda; Branchiopoda; Diplostraca; Daphniidae
Description: uncharacterized LOC116918200
Source: RNAcentral
CUGCAGGAUCCCAUCCAGGGACGGAAGAUAUAUCCCCUUCUCGGCUAGAGAGGUACGCAGCCACCUCGUCCGCCACUGCGUCGACAUCCCCUCCGUAACGCAGGAAUGAUUCUUGUUGUUGCUCCCCCUCAGCCUCCUCCAACAGCUCCAAUAAACGGUCAUUGAUCGGGCCGGAAUCACCAAGGAGAGUGCGAGCGUCAUCCAGGAGGCGGGUGGCUUCACGGCGCGAAAGCUUAUUGGUUAUAACCUUCCGGAUACGGGUGCAGCAUCCGGUUAUCUUCUGACGCAGUACCUUCUGGCGCCCCCUGCAUUGGUCGAUGGUGAGCGCUGCGAUAUCUUCCGCCAUAAUGACAAAGGCUAGAAUAAGGCGAAGGAUCAGAGCUAGCAGCAACGUAGUGGAUGGUAGCGCUGCUCGUCGAUGGAGAAUCUUCGUCCACUGGGUUGCCUGCUUAACGGCAGGGUCUAAGUCAGUUGAAAAGAGGGUGCAAUAGAGUCCUGGAACACCGUCUGUCUAUAGCUGGACUCCCAACUUGGUUCUCGUCGAGUAGUCGGCUCUGCUUGACGGGCAAAGGAUUCUCUUGGCUGGAACUGGUCAGUUCCUUCCAACUUGGUUCUCGUUGGCUUGGUCGGGUCUGCUUAACGGCAGACAGUCUUUGUCAAGGAGCCACAGGGGCGGGUCAAUUCAACGCUGAGCAGCGUGGGAAGGUCUGCUUAACGGCAGGCCGAAGUCAAUUCAAUAAAUGCUGAAAGGUGUGGGCAGUUCUGCUUAACACCAGGAUGGAGUCACAUCAAAUGCUGAACAGCGUGAUUCAGAAACGUGCCGGUGCUCCGGUUCGAAGGACCAGAUGAUAGCUUGGUUGGUACUCGAGUAGUGGACUGUAUGGACCACGAGUAUAUUGUGUCAGUCUCGAUAAAACGAAGUCAUGAAUUCUGAUCAUCUAUCAUCAAUCUACAACAAAAGGAGUUAGACAGGGAUCAAGCAACACGUAACAAUGAAUAAUUACCUAGCAGAGCUAGCUUGGAUGAGGAAUAAAGAUUACGAUACAACUGGGUCACUCAACACAGUGGGUGAACACCAGGUCAGGAGGGCAAGAACCGUUAUCACAGCAACUGAAUGAGUACAUUAUUAGAUGCAAUAGACAAGGUAGCUCUAACACAUGUUUGACUAGUACCUUGCUUAAGGUUCCGUCUGUCAAGACCUCAACUCUAGUCAGACCUCAGUGCUAGUCAACUUCUAGUCACGUUUUCUUUUAUACAAUUCUAGUCAGGGCUAUACAAUUCUAGUCAGAGCUAUAAAGGAAACAAAGUUAUGACAUGUAAAACAAUUAGGCAGUGUUUGAACGGAAAUACCUGUGUCAAUUAAUCAAGAUGUCAGUAUAGCACUGGGAAAUCAGGAGAAGACACAGAAAAUGACACCUUUGAAAAGAGGAUGGGAGACAAUAGAGUGGCUAAGCAGCAACCGCUGGUGGCGCCACUACGGAAUUACAAAAUUAACAGAGCUAAACAGCAGUCGCCGAACCAAUAGUGACAUUUUGAAGGAACUUGUCACGAGAAAAGAACCUCAUGAGGACUAACGCAGCGAAUCAAGAGUCAAGACUGGAGGCAAUAGUUCGAACACGUGCGGAUAGAAAAGCUAAUGCACUCGACCCAAAAUGGCGUCGUUUUUGUAGGGAAGGGUUCGCAAUUCCAAGGCUACUGCCUUCCUUACCCAUCCUUUUCUUCUGCAGAAGAAAGAAAUCAAACACUUGAAUUCAGUGCUGCGCAAUGGUGGCCGCAACGUUAUCGUUUCGUCGAGUGAGAAAAUCAAGUGGUUGGAAAGAGUGUAUUAGUCAUUGAAAUAGCCAUUCUAUAACAGUGUCUCGACAGGAUAAUCAAAGAAAUGUUUGAGUGUUAAUUGUGUAUAUUGUAAAAGACGACUAAUAUACAAAAGUUUGGGAGGGUAAAGGCACGGUCGGAUUCAUAGGGUAAAAAAUGGGGGAAGGAUUAGUGAUAUAAAAUGUUUCAAAUUUACCGGAAGAUAUAUUUUUUAAAGAAAGAAA